CUGUUAAAUGAUUGAUCCCGCC
RNAcentral lists this non-coding RNA (22 nucleotides) under Rattus norvegicus (Norway rat). Lineage: Eukaryota; Metazoa; Chordata; Mammalia; Rodentia; Muridae. The record is from RNAcentral.